UGAUCCAGUGAGGAAAGGGUGGCCCAGCUAUCGCUAAGAGAUGGACCCGCGGUGCAUUAGCUAGUUGGUAGGGUAAAGGCCUACCAAGGCGAUGAUGCAUAGCCGACCUGAGAGGGUGAUCGGCCACAUUGGGACUGAGACACGGCCCAAAUUCUACGGGAGGCAGCAGUAGGGAAUCUUCCGCAAUGGACGCAAGUCUGACGGAGCAACGCCGCGUGAGUGAAGAAGGUCUUCGGAUCGUAAAGCUCUGUUGUUAGAGAAGAACAGCGCAUAGAGUAACUGUUAUGCGUGUGACGUAUCUAACCA
Molecule: ribosomal RNA, 306 nt
Filed under: Abiotrophia defectiva
Lineage: Bacteria; Bacillati; Bacillota; Bacilli; Lactobacillales; Aerococcaceae
Description: bacterial SSU rRNA
Rfam family: Bacterial small subunit ribosomal RNA
Source: RNAcentral